UAGCGUAUAUUAAAGUUGUUGCGGUAAAAAAGCUCGUAGUUGGAUUUCUGUUGAGGACGACCGGUCCGUACCAUGUACGCGCAUCUGGUUCGGCCUCGGCAUCCUCUCGAUAGACGUUUCUGCGCUUGAUUGCGUGGAGCGGAUUUCGGGACUUUUACUUUGAGGAAAUUAGAGUGUUCACGGCAGGCUAUCGCCAGAAUACAUUAGCAUGGAAUAAUACUAUAGGAUCUCGGUUCUAUUUUGUUGGUUUCUAGACCCGGGGUAAUGAUUAAUAGGGACAAUUGGGGGCAUUUGUAUCAACACGUC
This 306-nucleotide ribosomal RNA is filed under the name Amoebophrya sp. RNAcentral's name for it is "SSU rRNA". It matches the Rfam family "Eukaryotic small subunit ribosomal RNA", at positions 595 to 906 of the family's 1831-position model. Lineage: Eukaryota; Dinophyceae; Syndiniales; Amoebophryaceae. The record is from RNAcentral.